UCUGAUGAAACCGUUAAAAGAAUACAACGGAGAAACGCGUUAAGGGCACUCUGCAUUAGUGCUUUGGAACACUCAUUCAUUCUGGACUUUUGGCUAGACCUAUCUGCUGCAGUUUGUUCAUCACACAUCUGCCCCGGUGAGGCAAAAUCAAGCCGCUCCAGCGAGGAAAAGCUAAGCGGCGCGCUGCUGCAGCCGGGUGCCAUUCUCUGUGUGAAAAAGUACCACUGAUCCUGGCCGUGGUGUGAAAGCCUCAUUAACAUCAGCUCCGGUGAGGAGAAGCUAAGCGGCUCCAGCGAGGAGAAGUUCAGCGGCACGCUGCCGUAGCUGGGCGCCGCGCUCCACCGGUGAGAGUAUCACUAUUCUGGCCACGGUGAGGGCUUUUGUGCACGGAGACAGAGAAUGAGGACCUCCCAUCCUAGUGUUCAGAUUCCACAAGCAGAAAUCACCAGGAAUCAUGCUUAGAACAAGCUCCAGAAGUCUCCACCUUACAUCUGUCCUCACGCCGUGGAAGCUGCCUUCUUCCAGUUUCCUGCAUAGUAAUGUAUGCGUGCAGGGCACCCCAAACAUGGCAGCAACCCCUCACUUGAUUUUGCAUUCUAGGCCCCACAUAGCCCAGUUUUUUAAAAUCCUAAAUCCAGCUGUGUACUCAUACACUGUCUUCAAAACAGCCACUCUUGAACUUCCGGUUCUGGUGCUGAUGAACUCAGCAGCAGCAGCAUGAGCUCUGUGGCAGCCCCCGCCAGCUUGCCCGGCGCAGCUACCUCAGACCCUGUGGCAUGCUUUCCCCUGCUGAAUGGAUCGUUUUUGGCCGCCCCAGACCCUGCAAAACCGCUGCAUCAGUGCCUGCCAAUAUCGCGGGAGGACUUCAAUAUGGCCGCCGGGUCACUGCCACCAGCACAGACACGCCAGCAGCCGCAGCUUGUGAGUAAUGAUAGAGGCUCUGAUCUCCCCCAUUCACAGGAGACAGAUAUUACUACUGCAGCCCCUACAGCCCAGCCUUCACAUGUACAGAUGCAGGCAUUUGAAAGCCCUAUAACAUACUCCACUAUGGCGCAGGCUAUACAGGACACAAUUAGUCCCAUUAUGGAAUCCCAUGCUUCCAAAGUCACGCAGGUUGUUCAAGAUAUAAAGUCCCAAAUUAAACAGCUUUCCAAGAGGGUCCUGAUGAAUGAACACUGCUUUGGGGAAGUGUUUCAAGAUGUCACUGAUUUAAAGGCACAUGCUGCCACUUUACAAAAAGCACAUUUGCAGGUUUUAAACAAACUUGAUGACCUUGAGAAUCAUUUGAGGCAUAAUAACCUUCGGAUAAUGGGACUCCCUGAAUCCUUAAAGAGCCCUGCUCUUUUUACGUUUAUACAAUCUACCCUUCCUGACCUACUUGAUAUCCAAGAUGUAUGUGAAGGGAUGGUUGUGGAACGGGCACAUAGAAUCGGCCCCUUGCGAGAUACCUCAGCUAGCAGACCCCGUGCUUUUAUCUUUCGCUCACUCAAUUACAUUCACAAAGAUGCCAUUUGGUGGGUGUCCAGACGCAAGAGAGACUUACACUGGAACGGCAUCAAGCUUUACAUAUUUCAGGACUAUUCGGCUGAGGUGGUGAGAGCACGGAAAGAAUUUAACCCCAUCUGCUCCAGCCUAGCGAAAUCUGGAAUCAAAUUUGCCCUUAUGUACCCUGCUCGCCUACGUGUGUUUUCUGGGUCAUCCUUUAAAGAUUUCUCUACUCCCUCUGACGCUGAAUCAUAUUUGGCUGAAAGAGAUGAGAAACAAUCUUUGCAGAAGCUGUUUACCCAGGACGUUGUUCCUUGACAUCUUUGCUAGCACCCAUAGGGUCCUCAUAUAAAAUUGCUCUAAUGUCUACCGGACAUUAUAUCACUGUGUAUUAUUAUUGAUGGUAUUAAGUGUCUGAUCUUACUCCAUAUCCCAAAUUUGAUGGGGAUUGUUCCGUAUUGGGACUCCCUAUGUUUUUUUAGUUACCUAUUCAUAUGGUUACUGCGGCAAU
Long non-coding RNA from Pseudophryne corroboree (corroboree frog), 1996 nucleotides. RefSeq lists it as uncharacterized. The record is from RefSeq and is a predicted model, not a curated record. NCBI's taxonomy places the organism in Eukaryota, Metazoa, Chordata, Amphibia, Anura, Myobatrachidae. The transcript is spliced from 3 exons.